GACAGAGGGUGCAAACGUUGUUCGGAAUUACUGGGCGUAAAGCGCGUGUAGGCGGCUAUGUAAGUCGGGCGUGAAAUCCCACGGCUCAACCGUGGAAGUGCACCCGAAACUGCGUAGCUAGAGUUCUGGAGAGGAAGGUGGAAUGCUUGGUGUAGAGGUGAAAUGCGCAGAUAUCGGGAAGAACACCCGUGGCGAAGGCGGCUCUCUGGGACGGUACUGACGCUGAGACGCGAAAGCGUGGGGAGCGAACAGG
This 253-nucleotide ribosomal RNA is filed under the name uncultured bacterium. Its description in RNAcentral is "partial 16S ribosomal RNA". It matches the Rfam family "Bacterial small subunit ribosomal RNA", at positions 524 to 776 of the family's 1533-position model. The record is from RNAcentral.